Molecule: transfer RNA, 96 nt
Filed under: bacterium
Lineage: Bacteria
Description: tRNA-Ser
Rfam family: tRNA
About the family: Transfer RNA (tRNA) molecules are approximately 80 nucleotides in length. Their secondary structure includes four short double-helical elements and three loops (D, anti-codon, and T loops).
Source: RNAcentral
GGAGAGAUGGCAGAGUCCGGUUGAAUGCACUCGACUCGAAAUCGAGCAGGGGGCUUAUAAACCUCCUCGGGGGUUCGAAUCCCUUUCUCUCCGCCA